CAUGGAGGGUGAGAAUCCCGUCCGGCUGACCUUUCAGGACGUUUUACGAUACGCUCUCAAAGAGUCGAGUUGUUUGGGAUUGCAGCUCAAAAUGGGAGGUAAAUUUCUCCUAAGGCUAAAUACCGGCGAGAGACCGAUAGCGAACAAGUACCGUGAGGGAAAGAUGAAAAGAAUUUUGAAAAGAAAGUCAAACAGUACGUGAAAUUGUUGAAAGGGAAACGAUUGAAGCCAGUCGUACCGACGGGAAUUCAACUUCUCGAGUGCUAAUCGUGGGUGACGUUGAGCCUCACGGCCUUCGUUGCUUGUGUUGUUGGUGCUUUUGGGGUGUACUUUUCCGUAUGGUAGGUCAGCAUCGAUUUCGAUCGUCAUAAAAUGAUCGGGGGAAUGUAGCUUCGGUCUCGUAUCGGAGUGUUAUAGACCUUGGUAGAUGUGACGAUUGGGAUCGAGGAUUGCAACGAAUACCCUCUGGGCUAUCCGUCUGACCUCUGAAAGUCGCUCGGGUGUCGAAAGCGUGCUUAUGGCUAUUCGAGUUGGCGGUCAACAGGUUAGAACGUGAUUACAUUCGUUAAGGAUGUUGACGUA
This 582-nucleotide ribosomal RNA is filed under the name uncultured Glomus. RNAcentral's name for it is "eukaryotic LSU rRNA". It matches the Rfam family "Eukaryotic large subunit ribosomal RNA", at positions 204 to 633 of the family's 3401-position model. The record is from RNAcentral. Lineage: Eukaryota; Fungi; Glomeromycota; Glomeromycetes; Glomerales; Glomeraceae.